RNAcentral lists this long non-coding RNA (1526 nucleotides) under Homo sapiens (human). Its description in RNAcentral is "HSALNT0371396". Lineage: Eukaryota; Metazoa; Chordata; Mammalia; Primates; Hominidae. The record is from RNAcentral.
AGUGGGAAGAAAGCUUCCAACUCCCAGCGGUUCCAGCAGAAGUCCUGGGGCUGGAGAGCUGUUCCUGAGUUGCCUGUGAUCACAUACCACACCUGAUGGCAUCACUGUAUCCAGGCUCCAGGUGCAUAGAAUGUUGUGAGGUCAUGACUGCCAGCAUUAUGACCAGUCUUGGAACUAGGAUUGGGGUGGGGUUCAUCCCACCCAGACCACAGAGACUGAAAAUAAGAAAGGGGUGAGGCCUAAGGGACAAUCAGGAUGUUUUUCAGAGAGAAGUGUGGAUGCUGGACAGGAAGAACCACAGAUACCAGAUACGGAAAAGGAAGAAUCAACACUUUCAGAGAUGGAGCCUGUUGAGCCACAGUACCAACUAGUCAAUGCUGAAUCGACUUCUCCCUUUCUACAUUGCCUGAGAGAAGUCAUUGGGGAAUACUCUAGAGUCAAGGGAUUGGAUUGUGGAUUGCAUUGGUGGUUUUCCUCAGUUUCCUCAUCUUCUCCACAAGUUUCUACAUAUCGAAUGCAGAGCAGCCCUUCUUCAAAGGACCUCCUACGGAAGCUGCUAAGGAACUCAGUCUGUAGCUCUGCGUGGAGCCAUGUGUAAACACUGAACUGAGACCUGCCACCUCCUACUACCUAAGGGCCCAUUUUCAUCUGAUAUCAUCCCCCAGAAACAAACUCAUGAUGACUUCCAUGUUUUUUUUAGAUUAGAUACAUGGAGAAUUUUCCUUUCCCUUAGAAUUAAAAUCCUGCAUUCUAAUUUUCAAGUGAUGUUCCCAGGAGAAAUGAUAAUGCAGCAAUGGACAAGAACAGGAACAAGAGACAGUCUUACCAUCUUCUUACAAUUUAUAGAUGGGACAGUGGAAAGAGAAGCCACAUCGGGGUUGGGCAUGCAGAGACCUGGUCCUAAAUCUGUGUGACUUUUGCGAAAUCCUUUUGCCUCACAGAGCUCUAGGUUCUUAUCUGUCAAACAGGAACCAGACCAUCAGAUCCGUAGAGAUCCAACCAAUGAAGGAGACUUCGAAAACUUCACAUUGCCGUGUCAAUGUGAGGUUGCUGGAUGGUUAUGACAAGAAAUCACAUUAAAUUCACUGGGGUAACAUUGUUCAUGAAACGGGAUAAUGUGUUUCAGCGAUGAACCACCCAUGGCCUUACUACAGACAUAUUUCCACUUUGAAAAUGUGUGUGAGUGUACAUGUCUGUGUGUGAGGCAGAGAUUAGAAAGUGUAAAUGUGUGCGUUUUCAUUUUACACAUCUUACAUUUUCCUUUAAUUUGUUUGAAAGCCUGUUUUGUUUGUGGCUUCCAUUCCUGGAAGUCCCAUGAGUUGUUAGUGGUGAAGAUGGAACAGAUGUGUCCAACCCGGGGGACUCCUGCCCUCAGGGACUGAGCAGCUGCAAACCUCUCUCUCAUCUGAUUCCACUGUUUCUUCCACAUGUACACAUCAUGAGAAAUAUUGUUCAAUCAAUAUCUUCCCUUAAAUCAACUCAUAUGCUUAUUUACAUGAAUUUACCUAAAACAGAAACUUGAUAUC